Molecule: ribosomal RNA, 1092 nt
Filed under: Limosilactobacillus fermentum
Lineage: Bacteria; Bacillati; Bacillota; Bacilli; Lactobacillales; Lactobacillaceae
Description: bacterial SSU rRNA
Rfam family: Bacterial small subunit ribosomal RNA
Source: RNAcentral
GAAAAGUUCUGAUUGGAGCAACCCCGCGUGAGUGAAGAAGGGUUUCGGCUCGUAAAACUUUUGUUGUUAAAGAAGAACAUAUCUGAGAGUAACUGUUCAGGUAUUGACGGUAUUUAACCAGAAAGCCACGGCUAACUACGUGCCAGCAGCCGCGGUAAUACGUAGGUGGCAAGCGUUGUCCGGAUUUAUUGGGCGUAAAGCGAGCGCAGGCGGUUUUUUAAGUCUGAUGUGAAAGCCUUCGGCUCAACCGAAGAAGUGCAUCGGAAACUGGGAAACUUGAGUGCAGAAGAGGACAGUGGAACUCCAUGUGUAGCGGUGAAAUGCGUAGAUAUAUGGAAGAACACCAGUGGCGAAGGCGGCUGUCUGGUCUGUAACUGACGCUGAGGCUCGAAAGUAUGGGUAGCAAACAGGAUUAGAUACCCUGGUAGUCCAUACCGUAAACGAUGAAUGCUAAGUGUUGGAGGGUUUCCGCCCUUCAGUGCUGCAGCUAACGCAUUAAGCAUUCCGCCUGGGGAGUACGGCCGCAAGGCUGAAACUCAAAGGAAUUGACGGGGGCCCGCACAAGCGGUGGAGCAUGUGGUUUAAUUCGAAGCUACGCGAAGAACCUUACCAGGUCUUGACAUACUAUGCAAAUCUAAGAGAUUAGACGUUCCCUUCGGGGACAUGGAUACAGGUGGUGCAUGGUUGUCGUCAGCUCGUGUCGUGAGAUGUUGGGUUAAGUCCCGCAACGAGCGCAACCCUUAUUAUCAGUUGCCAGCAUUAAGUUGGGCACUCUGGUGAGACUGCCGGUGACAAACCGGAGGAAGGUGGGGAUGACGUCAAAUCAUCAUGCCCCUUAUGACCUGGGCUACACACGUGCUACAAUGGAUGGUACAACGAGUUGCGAACUCGCGAGAGUAAGCUAAUCUUUUAAAGCCAUUCUCAGUUCGGAUUGUAGGCUGCAACUCGCCUACAUGAAGUCGGAAUCGCUAGUAAUCGCGGAUCAGCAUGCCGCGGUGAAUACGUUCCCGGGCCUUGUACACACCGCCCGUCACACCAUGAGAGUUUGUAACACCCAAAGUCGGUGGGGUAACCUUUAGAACCAGCCGCCUA